UUAAAUUGAAGAGUUUGAUCAUGGCUCAGAUUGAACGCUGGCGGCAGGCCUAACACAUGCAAGUCGAACGGUAACAGGAAGCAGCUUGCUGCUUUGCUGACGAGUGGCGGACGGGUGAGUAAUGUCUGGGAAACUGCCUGAUGGAGGGGGAUAACUACUGGAAACGGUGGCUAAUACCGCAUAACGUCGCAAGACCAAAGAGGGGGACCUUCGGGCCUCUUGCCAUCAGAUGUGCCCAGAUGGGAUUAGCUUGUUGGUGAGGUAACGGCUCACCAAGGCGACGAUCCCUAGCUGGUCUGAGAGGAUGACCAGCCACACUGGAACUGAGACACGGUCCAGACUCCUACGGGAGGCAGCAGUGGGGAAUAUUGCACAAUGGGCGCAAGCCUGAUGCAGCCAUGCCGCGUGUAUGAAGAAGGCCUUCGGGUUGUAAAGUACUUUCAGCGGGGAGGAAGGUGUUGUGGUUAAUAACCACAGCAAUUGACGUUACCCGCAGAAGAAGCACCGGCUAACUCCGUGCCAGCAGCCGCGGUAAUACGGAGGGUGCAAGCGUUAAUCGGAAUUACUGGGCGUAAAGCGCACGCAGGCGGUCUGUCAAGUCGGAUGUGAAAUCCCCGGGCUCAACCUGGGAACUGCAUUCGAAACUGGCAGGCUUGAGUCUUGUAGAGGGGGGUAGAAUUCCAGGUGUAGCGGUGAAAUGCGUAGAGAUCUGGAGGAAUACCGGUGGCGAAGGCGGCCCCCUGGACAAAGACUGACGCUCAGGUGCGAAAGCGUGGGGAGCAAACAGGAUUAGAUACCCUGGUAGUCCACGCCGUAAACGAUGUCUACUUGGAGGUUGUGCCCUUGAGGCGUGGCUUCCGGAGCUAACGCGUUAAGUAGACCGCCUGGGGAGUACGGCCGCAAGGUUAAAACUCAAAUGAAUUGACGGGGGCCCGCACAAGCGGUGGAGCAUGUGGUUUAAUUCGAUGCAACGCGAAGAACCUUACCUGGUCUUGACAUCCACAGAACUUUCCAGAGAUGGACUGGUGCCUUCGGGAACUGUGAGACAGGUGCUGCAUGGCUGUCGUCAGCUCGUGUUGUGAAAUGUUGGGUUAAGUCCCGCAACGAGCGCAACCCUUAUCCUUUGUUGCCAGCGGUUAGGCCGGGAACUCAAAGGAGACUGCCAGUGAUAAACUGGAGGAAGGUGGGGAUGACGUCAAGUCAUCAUGGCCCUUACGACCAGGGCUACACACGUGCUACAAUGGCGCAUACAAAGAGAAGCGACCUCGCGAGAGCAAGCGGACCUCAUAAAGUGCGUCGUAGUCCGGAUUGGAGUCUGCAACUCGACUCCAUGAAGUCGGAAUCGCUAGUAAUCGUGGAUCAGAAUGCCACGGUGAAUACGUUCCCGGGCCUUGUACACACCGCCCGUCACACCAUGGGAGUGGGUUGCAAAAGAAGUAGGUAGCUUAACCUUCGGGAGGGCGCUUACCACUUUGUGAUUCAUGACUGGGGUGAAGUCGUAACAAGGUAACCGUAGGGGAACCUGCGGUUGGAUCACCUCCUUACCUUAAAGAA
RNAcentral lists this ribosomal RNA (1554 nucleotides) under Salmonella enterica. RNAcentral describes it as "bacterial SSU rRNA". It matches the Rfam family "Bacterial small subunit ribosomal RNA". Lineage: Bacteria; Pseudomonadati; Pseudomonadota; Gammaproteobacteria; Enterobacterales; Enterobacteriaceae. The record is from RNAcentral. RNAcentral also lists the same sequence under 1 other name.